GCCCCGGCCCCGGCCCCAGCCCCAGCUCCAGCUCCGGCUCCAGAGCCUGUUAAAAAGGCCAGUUCAAAGAAACUAUCUGAAAAAGAGACUCCCACUACUGAAACUUCUCCAAAGACUGAGACUUCAGGAACAGAAGAAGAGGGAACUGAAGGCACUUCAAAGAAAGUAAGUUCAGGAGAGGAGGAGGAGGAGGAGGAGGAAGAGGAAGACUGACCAUACUUUUGUGAAUACAGCUGUAUAUUAUCUAGAGCACUGUACAAAUUUCUAUUGUUAUUUAUACUGAAUAUUAUUAAAUACAUUCUCUGACAUGCA
This is a long non-coding RNA of Candoia aspera, 312 nucleotides long. RefSeq lists it as uncharacterized. The transcript has 4 exons. The record is from RefSeq and is a predicted model, not a curated record. NCBI's taxonomy places the organism in Eukaryota, Metazoa, Chordata, Lepidosauria, Squamata, Candoiidae.